RNAcentral lists this ribosomal RNA (378 nucleotides) under uncultured eukaryote. RNAcentral's name for it is "SSU rRNA". It matches the Rfam family "Eukaryotic small subunit ribosomal RNA", at positions 587 to 972 of the family's 1831-position model. The record is from RNAcentral.
AGCUCUGUAAGCGUAUACCAAAGUUGUUGCAGUUAAAACGCUCGUAGUCGGAUUUUGGCGUAGCCCGUGCUGUAUGCGUGGAGCAUGUGGCGCUGGGGUACGCUUUUGUGGAGGGCGGUGCAUCGUGGCUUUGCUGUCGCGGCGUAUCGGCGCCACCGUUUACUGUGAAAAAAUUAGAGUGUUCAAAGCAGGCGUUUGCCGUGAAUACAUUAGCAUGGAAUAAUAGAAUAGGACUUGGUUUCUAUUUUGUUGGUUUGUGAGAGCCGAGUAAUGAUUAAGAGGGACGGUUGGGGGCAUUUGUAUUCCAGCGUCAGAGGUGAAAUUCUUGGAUUGCUGGAAGACAAACCGCUGCGAAAGCGUCUGCCAAGGACGUUUUCA